AAUAUUGGGCAAAGGAGGCAACUCUGAUCCACCCAUGCCGGAGGCAGGAAGACUGCCCUUAAAGCUUAAAAAUUUGUAUACAGGAAGAAACCGCUUAACGUGUAGUGCUUUGAUGGUACUGUAAGAAUAAAGAUUGGAAAUCCCCGUCACCGCCCGCGGGGUUAUAGAGGGGAUCCGAGCUUUAUCCAAAAUCAUUGGUAAAAAGGGUCAUAGGGGAUAAUUAAGUCAAGGAAAUAAGUCUGCAGGUCAACUGUAGAACAUCUUUGAUGGCGGUUAAGAGUAAGAGUUAGGAAAUCGUUAUAAUAUGUGUAGCGCGAAAAAUUAGAUAUUAUGACGUACAAUACCAAUGAGAAGGCUGAUCAGUAACAAAAUAACAACAAUGAAGGAAAAAAGGGGUGGGAGACAACAGGAUAUAAUACCGUGGUUGUCCACGCCAAA
This 438-nucleotide ribosomal RNA is filed under the name uncultured marine bacterium. RNAcentral describes it as "bacterial SSU rRNA". It matches the Rfam family "Bacterial small subunit ribosomal RNA", at positions 360 to 804 of the family's 1533-position model. The record is from RNAcentral.